RNAcentral lists this long non-coding RNA (268 nucleotides) under Felis catus (domestic cat). RNAcentral's name for it is "lncRNA (ENSFCAG00000050200.1)". Lineage: Eukaryota; Metazoa; Chordata; Mammalia; Carnivora; Felidae. The record is from RNAcentral.
AUGCGUUCAUUCACAGAAACAUCUUGUUGAGGACCAGACUGCUCUGAAGAGCUCCACACUUGCUCAUGGUUCUCAUUAAAGAAGAUUCAUGUAAGGGCCAAUGGACACCUGAUCCCCUGCUGCCUUUGUUUGAAAUCCAAGAAGUUUCCUUGUGCUGAUUUAACUGCCUGCAGUCUUUUCUAUCAUAAAAAACAAAACAAAACAAAACAAUGCUGAUUCUGUCCAUUUUAACCCCUGUGUGAAACUGACUUUUAACAUACUUGUGCGU